GAUGAACGCUGGCGGCGUGCUUAACACAUGCAAGUCGAACGAUGAAGCUGGAGCUUGCUCUGGUGGAUUAGUGGCGAACGGGUGAGUAACACGUGAGCAACCUGCCCCUGACUCUGGGAUAACAGCCGGAAACGGCUGCUAAUACCGGAUAUGCACCAUGAACGCAUGUUCUGUGGUGGGAAAGAUUUUUCGGUUGGGGGUGGGCUCGCGGCCUAUCAGCUUGUUGGUGAGGUAAUGGCUCACCAAGGCGUCGACGGGUAGCCGGCCUGAGAGGGUGACCGGCCACACUGGGACUGAGACACGGCCCAGACUCCUACGGGAGGCAGCAGUGGGGAAUAUUGCACAAUGGGCGAAAGCCUGAUGCAGCAACGCCGCGUGAGGGAUGACGGCCUUCGGGUUGUAAACCUCUUUUAGCAGGGAAGAAGCGAGAGUGACGGUACCUGCAGAAAAAGCGCCGGCUAACUACGUG
RNAcentral lists this ribosomal RNA (469 nucleotides) under uncultured bacterium. Its description in RNAcentral is "partial 16S ribosomal RNA". It matches the Rfam family "Bacterial small subunit ribosomal RNA", at positions 28 to 507 of the family's 1533-position model. The record is from RNAcentral.